This is a long non-coding RNA of Raphanus sativus (radish), 670 nucleotides long. RefSeq lists it as uncharacterized. The transcript has 2 exons. The record is from RefSeq and is a predicted model, not a curated record. NCBI's taxonomy places the organism in Eukaryota, Viridiplantae, Streptophyta, Magnoliopsida, Brassicales, Brassicaceae.
UAGUGCUUCCGUACACAAUAUGAACAGGUAUGGGGAUAACGAAUCCCCUUGUCUUAGCCCUUUUUGUGAUACAAUAAGUCCUCGCGGUUGACCAUUUAAAAGUACCUGAUAUUGCACUGAAGAUACACAUUCCAUCAUCAGUUUUAUCCAAUGAGAAUCGAAACCCAGUUUGUGAAGAAGCGCCUGAAUAAAAUCCCACUCUACCCUGUCAUAAGCCUUGCUCAUAUCCGUCUUAAUUGCCAUGUAAUAUCGUGUCUGCUCAUAGCCGCAGUCCUUAGUGGGCGGUAGAAGAUCUUCAACCAUGGUGUUUGAAGACGUGGAUGCGCUCUAGCCGGUGAUCGAAGAUGGCGGAUGAUGAGUGAAGAAGGCGAUCAAGGAGAAGCUUCAUAAUUUACACGGUGGUGACUAUCUCAAGUUCCAGCGACAGGGAACACAAUUUCAGGAGUCGACGUUCACCGUUUGCUUAACCCAUCUCGUGCUUCCAUGUGUGCUACACGUGUUGAUCGGCAUGGAACAUUACUGAUCCUUAUCUUUAGUCUAUUGGGCUUAGAUAAGUGGGAUAAAUUUGAUCAAUGUUGUAAAUAGUGGGUUAUUGGGCUUAUUUCAUUUUGUUACUUACUGCUGUAAAACUUUUCUUAAUGAAAAAGUUGGUUGAUAAAAAAAUAACAAA